UACAGAGGUCCCAAGCGUUGUUCGGAUUCACUGGGCGUAAAGGGUGCGUAGGCGGUCGGGUAAGUCUGAUGUGAAAUCUCACAGCUUAACUGUGAAACUGCAUUGGAUACUAUCCGGCUAGAGGAAUGGAGGGGAGACUGGAAUACUUGGUGUAGCGGUGAAAUGCGCAGAUAUCAGGAGGAACACCGGUGGCGAAGGCGGUGAUCUGGGCCGUUACUGACGCUGAGGAGCGAAAGCGUGGGGAGCGAACAGG
RNAcentral lists this ribosomal RNA (253 nucleotides) under uncultured bacterium. Its description in RNAcentral is "partial 16S ribosomal RNA". It matches the Rfam family "Bacterial small subunit ribosomal RNA", at positions 524 to 776 of the family's 1533-position model. The record is from RNAcentral.